AGCGGCAACAGCUCAAAUUUGAAAUCUGGCCCCUAGGGCCCGAGUUGUAAUUUGUAGAGGAUGCUUUUGGUGAGGUGCCGCCCGAGUUCCCUGGAACGGGACGCCACAGAGGGUGAGAGCCCCGUCUGGCUGGCCGCCGAGCCUCUGUAAAGCUCCUUCGACGAGUCGAGUAGUUUGGGAAUGCUGCUCAAAAUGGGAGGUAUAUGUCUUCUAAAGCUAAAUAUUGGCCAGAGACCGAUAGCGCACAAGUAGAGUGAUCGAAAGAUGAAAAGCACCUUGAAAAGAGGGUUAAAUAGUACGUGAAAUUGUUGAAAGGGAAGCGCUUGUGACCAGACUUGGGCGCGGCGGAUCAUCCGGGGUUCUCUCCGGUGCACUUCGCCGCGUCUAGGCCAGCAUCAGUUCGUCGCGGGGGAAAAAGGCUUCGGGAACGUGGCUCCUCCGGGAGUGUUAUAGCCCGUUGCAUAAUACCCUGCGGUGGACUGAGGACCGCGCAUCUGCAAGGAUGCUGGCGUAAUGGUCACCAGCGACCCGUCU
This 534-nucleotide ribosomal RNA is filed under the name Trichoderma sp. FSU 10142. RNAcentral describes it as "eukaryotic LSU rRNA". It matches the Rfam family "Eukaryotic large subunit ribosomal RNA", at positions 97 to 654 of the family's 3401-position model. The record is from RNAcentral. Lineage: Eukaryota; Fungi; Ascomycota; Sordariomycetes; Hypocreales; Hypocreaceae.